CCUACGGGGGGCAGCAGUGAGGAAUAUUGGUCAAUGGACGCAAGUCUGAACCAGCCAUGCCGCGUGCAGGAAGACGGCUCUAUGAGUUGUAAACUGCUUUUGUACGAGGGUAAACGCAGAUACGCGUAUCUGUCUGAAAGUAUCGUACGAAUAAGGAUCGGCUAACUCCGUGCCAGCAGCCGCGGUAAUACGGAGGAUUCAAGCGUUAUCCGGAUUUAUUGGGUUUAAAGGGUGCGUAGGCGGUCGGAUAAGUUAGUGGUGAAAUCCCGAGGCUCAACUUCGGAAUUGCCUUUGAUACUGUUAGGCUAGAGAAUAGUUGCGGUAGGCGGAAUGUAUGGUGUAGCGGUGAAAUGCUUAGAGAUCAUACAGAACACCGAUUGCGAAGGCAGCUUACCAAGCUAUUUCUGACAUUGAGGCACGAAAGCGUGGGUAGCAAACAGGAUUAGAUACCCCAGUAGUC
This 460-nucleotide ribosomal RNA is filed under the name uncultured bacterium. Its description in RNAcentral is "partial 16S ribosomal RNA". It matches the Rfam family "Bacterial small subunit ribosomal RNA", at positions 338 to 795 of the family's 1533-position model. The record is from RNAcentral.